UCCGCCCUACGGGGGGCAGCAGUGAGGAAUAUUGCACAAGGGGGGAAACCCUGAUGCAGCGACGCCGCGUGAGUGAGGAAGGAUUUCGGUAUGUAAAGCUCUAUCAGCAGGGAAGAAAAUGACGGUACCUGACUAAGAAGCCCCGGCUAACUACGUGCCAGCAGCCGCGGUGCUACGUAGGGGGCAAGCGUUAUCCGGCUUUACUGGGUGUAAAGGGAGCGUAGACGGAAGUGCAAAUCUGUUGUGAAAAUCCGGGGCCCAACCCCGGCAC
RNAcentral lists this ribosomal RNA (271 nucleotides) under uncultured bacterium. Its description in RNAcentral is "partial 16S ribosomal RNA". It matches the Rfam family "Bacterial small subunit ribosomal RNA", at positions 333 to 621 of the family's 1533-position model. The record is from RNAcentral.